GAAGCAACUUGUUUCCAAAAGGCCCGCCGUCGUUGUCAUUUUGUGGCUGCGACAAAUCUGCGACUUCUGCGGCAGCGACAAAAAUGAGAGCCGAAGGUCAUUUUCAGCCGUGAAUUCUUUAAAGAAACUAAUGAGCGCUUUCGUUGGAACUCACCGAACGGAGCGAAAAAACAUCACUCAGCCCGCCGAGAAAGAGUCGCUAUAUUCAGGGUGAUUGAUCGUCGCCGGGGUGCAGAACCCGGCAGUGUGGCUUCUUUCCGGUGUUUUGGAAUAAUAAUGAAAUGAGAGACGGUGCUGAGAGGCGAUGGAACCAGGCACCGAGAAGAGAGGCCUCUCACACUCGGCUCCUCAGAAGGAGGUUCAGGUGAAGCGAAGGUCUCCGAGGUGGAGCUGCACCAACAGUUCACCAACAGUUUGCUGCCAAGACAGAGUCUCUCUCUUACUUUGCGCCCUCCUCCCUCCUACUUUUGAUCCGCUUCUCUCGGUCUGUCUCCUCCUGCCUCUCCUGCUCUGCCUCCCACACUUUCCCGCUGAGGGAUUCGCCCUCAGCGACCUGCGCUGUUGCUUAAACUAUGUGCAGAAGAUUUAGAACAUAUUAAAAAAGUCAUAUUCAUGCUAUUGACAUCUUGGCUGCGGAGAAAUGUUUUACCCAAUUCUAAUAGAUGCAAAUGCAUCUUGCGAGCACGUGAAGGUCAGCGAGGAGCAGAUUGUUCUCCGGCAGCUCGGAGACAAACUGAAUAUCUCACGAGAGGAAGAACGAGGUUGAAUGUGUGUUAGUUAGGAACAUUGUUAUUGUGUUUCUAAAUAGUUCUUUUCAGCUUUCAAUGUGAAUGUUCGAUGUGUGAAAAUCUCAUAUCUGUGCAAGAAAGAGAGAAAAGGUUCCGAGCGCUCAGAUGUAAACGAAGGUUUGGUUCGGUUUGAACACAAUUUAUUCCUUCUGAUAUCACAAUUAAAUCAAUUCAGUCAAUAUUCUUUCAGAAUGGUUUUUACAGCUUUCCUUUCAUUUGAAUAUUUGAAGUCAUGUGCGAUGCUGAGGUGUGCUUUAAAGUCUCACUUCGCGGCAGCUAUUUACAGCAUUGUGACAUCACUGGUGGGCGUGGCUAAAGGUGCCAUGGCAACUCAAAAAAAAGUUUCCAUUCAUCCCAAAAGAUGUUUUUUUUUUCCAUUUUGGGAUAUAUUGAAUCUUAUUUCAUUCAAUUUAUUCAUCUAUAUUGUAC
This is a long non-coding RNA of Gasterosteus aculeatus aculeatus (three-spined stickleback), 1217 nucleotides long. Lineage: Eukaryota; Metazoa; Chordata; Actinopteri; Perciformes; Gasterosteidae. The record is from Ensembl.